This 257-nucleotide ribosomal RNA is filed under the name uncultured Atopobium sp. RNAcentral describes it as "partial 16S ribosomal RNA". It matches the Rfam family "Bacterial small subunit ribosomal RNA", at positions 99 to 354 of the family's 1533-position model. Lineage: Bacteria; Bacillati; Actinomycetota; Coriobacteriia; Coriobacteriales; Atopobiaceae. The record is from RNAcentral.
CGAACGGCUGAGUAACACGUGGGCAACCUGCCCUUUGCACUGGGAUAGCCUCGGGAAACCGAGGUUAAUACCGGAUACUCCAUAUUUGUCGCAUGGCGAAUAUGGGAAAGCUCCGGCGGCAAAGGAUGGGCCCGCGGCCUGUUAGCUAGUUGGUGGGGUAGUGGCCUACCAAGGCAAUGAUGGGUAGCCGGGUUGAGAGACCGACCGGCCAGAUUGGGACUGAGACACGGCCCAGACUCCUACGGGAGGCAGCAGAU